Picea glauca (white spruce) is the source of this 135-nucleotide non-coding RNA. The record is from Rfam. NCBI's taxonomy places the organism in Eukaryota, Viridiplantae, Streptophyta, Pinopsida, Pinales, Pinaceae.
AAUAACCAAAUAUAGCACUUGGGUUAAGAGUCAGGUUCAUAAUUUUUCUUACAUCUCCACCGCUGGGAGCCCAAGUAUCAUAUACACCUCCAAAAUACAAAGCCUUGAGCACUGGAAGAAAAGCACCAACACCUA